Molecule: long non-coding RNA, 363 nt
Organism: Haliotis rubra (blacklip abalone)
Lineage: Eukaryota; Metazoa; Mollusca; Gastropoda; Lepetellida; Haliotidae
Exons: 4
Source: RefSeq, a predicted model, not a curated record
UUACUUGCAACGCCAUCUGUCCUGGAUUUGCCAACGCGCCAAUGAGCCACGGGCUGAUAAGGGAUUACGCUAACAAGAAUAAUCUCACGUUUGACGAAGCAAUGCAAGUUUUUGUAGAGAAGAACAACCCAACCAAGAAACCGGUGGAAAUUAAUGAGUUUCAGCUUGUUAAGUCGUCACUGUGGUUUGGACGCGAUGACGCGCUAUCAGGCGAGUCACAAGCCACGACCCCCUGAUUCAGUAGUGGCACCACUUAUACCAAGCAAUAUAGGGUGCUGGGGAUCGAACCCGGACCCCACUGGACACAGUGGUUUUAUUGAAUGUCUAGGCCUGCACUGGAAUUAUGUGAGUGAGUGUGGGUUU